GUGAUGUGCGUGUUUGUGUAGUGGAUAUAGUGUUUGUGUGUACUAGAUGAAAUGUGUUUAGUGAAUGCAGUGUCUGUAGUGGAUGUAGUGUGUGUAUUAGAUGCAGUGUCUGUGUAUAGUGAAUGCAGAGUGUUUCAAUUUGUGGUGGAUGUAGUGUGUGUACUGUGAAUACAGGAUGUUUGUGUAGUGGAUGCUGUGUGUACAGUUAAUGCAGAGUGUGUGUUAAUGUGUAGUGAAUGCAGAGUGUGUGUCAGUGUAGUG
This is a non-coding RNA of Pelobates cultripes (western spadefoot toad), 261 nucleotides long. The record is from the annotation of a GenBank genome assembly. NCBI's taxonomy places the organism in Eukaryota, Metazoa, Chordata, Amphibia, Anura, Pelobatidae.